GGACCCGCACAAGUAGUGGAGCAUGUGGUUUAAUUCGAAGAUACGCGCAGAACCUUACCAACACUUGACAUGUUCGUCGCGACUCUAAGAGAUUAGAGUUUUCGGUUCGGCCGGACGAAACACAGGUGCUGCAUGGCUGUCGUCAGCUCGUGUCGUGAGAUGUUGGGUUAAGUCCCGCAACGAGCGCAACCCUCACUUUUAGUUGCCAUCAUUAAGUUGGGCACUCUGAAAGAACUGCCAGUGAUAAGCUGGAGGAAGGUGGGGAUGACGUCAAGUCCUCAUGGCCCUUACGUGUUGGGCUACACACGUGCUACAAUGGUAUCUACAACAGGAAGCAAAACGGCAACGUUAAG
Molecule: ribosomal RNA, 353 nt
Filed under: uncultured bacterium
Lineage: Bacteria
Description: bacterial SSU rRNA
Rfam family: Bacterial small subunit ribosomal RNA
Source: RNAcentral